Molecule: non-coding RNA, 704 nt
Organism: Lolium perenne
Lineage: Eukaryota; Viridiplantae; Streptophyta; Magnoliopsida; Poales; Poaceae
Source: RefSeq, a predicted model, not a curated record
GGCCUGUAUGAUUUGUCAAAAUAGAAGAAGAGGUGAAACAGAUAGAAGGCUACCAGUUAGAUGUAUCAAGUCUUUAUUCAUUUCAGUAAUCUGGACUCCUAAUAUUUUCAUCCUGUAGCUGAUCUUAAUGAAAUCGUAGGGAAGGUCAGAAGAAACUGGGAGAACAACAACAAUCAAAACGACGAUCUGUAGCAAAGCAUGAGCAUUUUGCUCAACCGGAUUCUUGAUGUGUACACUUCGAGCCAGAGCCAACGCACAAGUCCUUUCCCUUACCUCAUGGACCACUUGGUCGGUGUCUAGGUUUCUGACGCUGCCAAGCCGCCUCUUCGUCAACCCCGGUGGACGACAAACUCGACUGCCGGGAACAAUAUGUCCGAAGUGUUCGAUCUCCCAAACGGAACUAUCAUUGAUGUUUCCGGCGGCGUGACAUAUGUCGGCCCAGCUGAGGCUGAUUUUUGUGCCCCUAGCGGCAUGAGGGAGAUCGCUAUAGUUGAUAGCGGACACAACACAAUCUUCCUGCGUUUUUUUGGUGAGUCUACUUAUCUACUCGGCGACCAGCUGUUAUCUGCAGAACAGAACAAUGCAGUUGUUGUGGCCUCCAACAUGGAGGUUGUUCAUCAAUCAAAGUCUCUUGAUAACACCAGUGCCACCACUGUCACAUUUGAGCCAUGCGCAAAAUGCUCUCAGUUUAAUAUUCUCGAAGG